This 450-nucleotide ribosomal RNA is filed under the name uncultured bacterium. Its description in RNAcentral is "partial 16S ribosomal RNA". It matches the Rfam family "Bacterial small subunit ribosomal RNA", at positions 354 to 796 of the family's 1533-position model. The record is from RNAcentral.
GUGGGGAAUAUUGGACAAUGGGCGAAAGCCUGAUCCAGCCAUGCCGCGUGUGUGAAGAAGGUCUUCGGAUUGUAAAGCACUUUAAGUUGGGAGGAAGGGCAGUAAGUUAAUACCUUGCUGUUUUGACGUUACCGACAGAAUAAGCACCGGCUAACUUCGUGCCAGCAGCCGCGGUAAUACGAAGGGUGCAAGCGUUAAUCGGAAUUACUUGGCGUAAAGCGCGCGUAGGGGGUUUGGUAAGUUGGAGGUGAAAUCCCCGGGCUCAACCUGGGAACUGCCUCCAAAACUGCAUGACUAGAGUACGGUAGAGGGUAGUGGAAUUUCCUGUGUAGCGGUGAAAUGCGUAGAUAUAGGAAGGAACACCAGUGGCGAAGGCGACUACCUGGACUGAUACUGACACUGAGGUGCGAAAGCGUGGGGAGCAAACAGGAUUAGAUACCCGAGUAGUCC